RNAcentral lists this long non-coding RNA (225 nucleotides) under Elaeis guineensis (African oil palm). RNAcentral describes it as "long non-coding RNA (EGUI_LNC031265)". The record is from RNAcentral. Lineage: Eukaryota; Viridiplantae; Streptophyta; Magnoliopsida; Arecales; Arecaceae.
AAUAUAUAAAUAUUAAUGGUUUGUUUAUGAACUAUAUUGAUGAAAUUUGCAUUUUUGUGAUGAAAGAAAUACUUACAUGCAUGUUUUAUUAUGGAUGAUUUAUUUAUAUACUUUGACCCUAUACAUGUAUAAUUUAGAAAAAUAUGAUUUAAGAAAUAUGAAAAAGGUCUCUCAGAUAUAUAUAGAUAUAUAUAUGUAUGUAUGUAUGUCUCCUAAAAGUGGGGU